Molecule: long non-coding RNA, 903 nt
Organism: Brachypodium distachyon (stiff brome)
Lineage: Eukaryota; Viridiplantae; Streptophyta; Magnoliopsida; Poales; Poaceae
Exons: 4
Source: RefSeq, a predicted model, not a curated record
UAACCCUAGACGCACCCUCUCGUCUCCCCAGCAUCCAGCCCCCGCCGCCAUCUGCCUCGUUUCUCCUCCCUAGUCCCGACUCUCUCGCUUCCUCCUCUCUGCCGUUUCUCUUCCUGAACCACGCCUUCCCUUCCGGUUCUCUCCUCCCCGGCACCGGCGGCCACGAGGCAGAAUUGGUGGCGGAGGCGAGAUGCCAGGUUCGACAAUCUGUAGCGCCAUCCCCGACCUCGCUGGCCCUGCCGCCGGAUCCGGCCUUACCGCAGCUCCCCCGCGAUUCCCUCCCAUGGCGGCACGCCGGAUCCGUGCCCGCCCCUGACGCAGCGGUGGCGUGCCAGAUGCCUUCUCCCCGCCCCUCGGUGUCCCCGGAUCCGCUGUGCCUCUCUGCGUCUGCGUAGCUUCCGCGCCCGCCGAGGAGCUCCGUCAACGACUCGCAGAGGACCGCCCGUGUCACAGCCUAGACUUUGUCAUCGAUGUGGACAGUCAGUGAUUGGUGCAAGGGUGGAUAGGCCGAGUACUCCUACGCCAUGUGCAGAUGGGUUGCAGCUGCUGAUGACAAGUCCAGAUUUUAGCUCAUCUUCACCUUUUAGUCCAGCGUGCAGAUAUAGAAGAGAUUUCAGUAGAUGAUGAGCUGUGGGAUGAUGGUUAGCUAGCAACCAUCUUUGAGAAGGUGAUGUUUUUUGGAAGAUGGAAGACGAAGAAGAAGCCGAUGAUGAAGCCUUUACUUUUAUUUGUGCUAAAUAAUUUGUAUUUUUCUGUAUGUAUGAUUUACCAACUGGUUUGUCCUUUCAGUUGGUUAAUAUAUAGAGAAAAGGUGUAACCAUUUCUUUUAUAUGAGGCCUGGUCAUAGAGAUAUUUGUUGUUAAAAUAUGUGUUUCUUUGCAUAAUUGUUGACAAAAAAAACUA